GAUGAAGAACGUAGUGAAAUGCGAUAAGUAAUGUGAAUUGCAGAAUUCAGUGAAUCAUCGAAUCUUUGAACGCACAUUGCGCCCGCCAGUAUUCUGGCGGGCAUGCCUGUUCGAGCGUCAUUUCAACCAUCAAGCCCCAGGCUUGUGUUGGAGCCCUGCGGCUGCCGCAGCCUCCCAAAACCAGUGGCGGGCUCGCUAUCACACCGAGUGCAGUAGUUUACUCUUCGCUCAGGGCGUGUGGCGGGUGCUAGCCGUAAAACCCCCAACUUCUCAAGGUUGACCUCGGAUCAGGUAGGAAUACCCGCUGAACUUAAGCAUAUCAAUAGCGGAGGA
RNAcentral lists this unclassified non-coding RNA (333 nucleotides) under soil metagenome. Its description in RNAcentral is "partial contains 5.8S ribosomal RNA, internal transcribed spacer 2, and large subunit ribosomal RNA". The stretch from base 1 to 120 matches the Rfam family "5.8S ribosomal RNA", at positions 35 to 154 of the family's 154-position model. The record is from RNAcentral.